AAUGAACGCUGGCGGCAUGCCUAACACAUGCAAGUCGAACGAAGGCUUCGGCCUUAGUGGCGCACGGGUGCGUAACGCGUGGGAAUCUGCCCUUGGGUUCGGAAUAACAGUUAGAAAUGACUGCUAAUACCGGAUGAUGUCGUAAGACCAAAGAUUUAUCGCCCAAGGAUGAGCCCGCGUAGGAUUAGCUAGUUGGCGGGGUAAAGGCCCACCAAGGCGACGAUCCUUAGCUGGUCUGAGAGGAUGAUCAGCCACACUGGGACUGAGACACGGCCCAGACUCCUACGGGAGGCAGCAGUGGGGAAUAUUGGACAAUGGGCGAAAGCCUGAUCCAGCAAUGCCGCGUGAGUGAUGAAGGCCUUAGGGUUGUAAAGCUCUUUUACCCGGGAUGAUAAUGACAGUACCGGGAGAAUAAGCUCCGGCUAACUUCGUGCCAGCCGCCGCCGCUG
RNAcentral lists this ribosomal RNA (449 nucleotides) under uncultured bacterium. RNAcentral describes it as "partial 16S ribosomal RNA". It matches the Rfam family "Bacterial small subunit ribosomal RNA", at positions 29 to 523 of the family's 1533-position model. The record is from RNAcentral.